Molecule: ribosomal RNA, 253 nt
Filed under: uncultured bacterium
Lineage: Bacteria
Description: partial 16S ribosomal RNA
Rfam family: Bacterial small subunit ribosomal RNA
Source: RNAcentral
UACGGAGGGUGCAAGCGUUAUCCGGAUUCACUGGGUUUAAAGGGAGCGUAGGUGGGAAUGUAAGUCAGUGGUGAAAUCUCCGUGCUUAACACGGAAACUGCCAUUGAUACUAUGUUUCUUGAAUUUUCUGGAGGUUAGCGGAAUAUGUCAUGUAGCGGUGAAAUGCUUAGAUAUCGUCAAGAACACCGAUAGUGAAGACAGCUAACUAAGCUCUAACUGACGCUGAGGCACGAAAGUGUGGGGAUCAAACAGG